This is a long non-coding RNA of Cucumis melo (muskmelon), 2459 nucleotides long. RefSeq lists it as uncharacterized. The record is from RefSeq and is a predicted model, not a curated record. The transcript is spliced from 5 exons. NCBI's taxonomy places the organism in Eukaryota, Viridiplantae, Streptophyta, Magnoliopsida, Cucurbitales, Cucurbitaceae.
AGCCCUUGAGAAGGCCUAAGAUAAUGCCUCUGUGAUCAGGAAAGUUUCUAACAUUUGUGACCAAAACAACGGUGUUGGGGAAGUUUUGUGCAUUGGCUGAAAUGUAGAUGUAAAUAAACAUUACCCACAACUGAGGCUUGGGGACAAACUCAGUAACAGAGAGCCAUAUCAUGAAGUAGCUGAAGAAGUUUAGGGUUAAGCCUAUAAGGAAGAGCAACCAUGGGGGAGCGACCUCGGCAAAAAGUCCGGCAAAAACUCCAAGGUUGGAACCGAGAUCUUUAGCGAAGCCUAAGGUGUUAAGUUGGGUUUGAUUGUAAUUAAAUUUGGUCUUUAAAAGUUUGGAGUAUGUUCCAAACAAGUAAGGUGAACCGCAGCCAAUCAUGACAAGAAACGAUGCAAAUACGAUGCAUCCUCGGAUGACUUUUCCUUAGACAACAAAGCAACCGUAAGUUUUAGUAUGUUGUUAUUAUUGUAUGGAUGUACCCUAACAAGAAAGGAAAGAGAAAGUUGAUCAAAGAUGAGUUUUCAAUUUUCAUCAAUCAACUCAAAUCCAGAGCGGGGUGAGAAAGAAGAAAAAUAUAUUGAGAUAACAAUAUUCAAUAAAAUUACUAAAGCAUCUGUUUGACCCAAACAAAAUAACAAUGGGAGUAACGGAAUUUGAAAAUUUUGGAUCUUAUAUAUAGUUGGUGUUAUUACUAAAUAUUGUUUUUGUUUCCAAUCUUUUCAAAUAUAUAUGUAAUAUUUAGUAACAUAUCUAGAUGUAAUCUUUAGUAACAUAUUUAGAUGUAAUAUUUGGUAACAUAUUUAGAAAUUUGACCGAAUGAUGGUAGAAUUGUGAAUGUCAUUUCAAAUACUUUUCUUCUCAAAUAUGUGCAAAUUUUGAAAUUGGAUCUUAGUGUUGCGUUAUUGUAAAUGUUAUUUAAUUUGGUAAUAUAGUGAGUGUAACGCCCAACAAAUUCGUUUUUUUUGUUCAUUGUCAUUAAUAUUUAAGUGUGGUUAUGGGAAUUUUUAAAUUUAUUGGAAGAACCUUACCAUUUUGAUUUCUCGAGUAAUUAAGGUUGGGAAUCCUUAUUUUGUUUAAGAUAAUAAGUUUUUUUUAUUAUUUUUAUUGGAAAUAAUUGGGGAAGUCUUUAUUAAACUAAAGUUGGUUGUUUUUGGUGAGAUUUGGGGAGAGAGAGGAGGUGGUUGUUUUGGGUUAUUUAAAAGGAAAAGAAAAGAGUUAUUUUCUUAUAAAAAGCCUUGGGACUCGUGCAUAAAGAGGAAGAGAAAAAAAAUCAAAGAAAGAAAGAGGGGAAAAGAAAAGAGAAAAAGGGAGAAAAUCUUUUUUAUUAUUAAUCAAACCCUAGCCGCCGCACGCCGCACGCCGCGAACCCGAGCCGCCAAGCCUUUCCCUCUCUGUUCAGCAGCGCAGCCGAGUCUGCAGUCGAAACCGAGCCGUCGCCGAGCUUCCAGCCGCGUCGGAAGAAUCGUCCAAGCCGAUCCGCGCACGCCGAGCGUCCGUCGGAGCAGCCGUCUCUCGCAGCCGUCGCCCGAAGCCGAGCCGCGUCACCCUUCGCGAUCCGCAGUCGAACCGUCAGCCAGCCGCGUCGCGCCGCUUCGAUCCGACGCAGCGCAGCCGAAACGCUCGUUUGCAGCCGUCGUCGAGCGAAGCCGUGGUAGCCGGACCACCAGCAGCCGCCGCGCCACCCGAAAUCCGGAAGCCAGCGCCUCGCGCGCAAAGAUCCGACCGAAAACCCGCUCCGCGACCCGAACCGACGCGCGCCGUCUUCCGGAACCCGACCCGCGCCCGUGUGCAUCCGCGUGUGAGCCGCGUCCGCGUGUGAGCCGCGUCCGCGUGUGAGCCGCGCCGCGCGCUUCUGCGUAGCCGAGUCGCGCCCGCGUGCAAGCCGCGCCGCCUGCACCACAACCUGAGCCGCGUCUCCCUCCUGUCGCAAGCCGAGCCGCACGCGUAAAGUUCCUGUACCGAGCCGAGUCGAGCCACGCCUGCGCCAAGCCGAGCCGGUCCCUGCCCUUUUUCCAGCCAAGCCGCCAAGACUAAUUUGGCUCCAUCCACCUAAAUUUUGGGAUGUCUUGGACCAAGUAACUGCUGCAGCGUGGGAUUUCUUCAGUAGGGGCUUGAGCACUGCAACCUCUUUCUAGGUUAGGACCUCGUCGCUUGGAAAACAUACUGCCUCGCGGUUAGGACUCGUCAAGUAAAUCUCCAGGUAGAGGACGAGGCAAGGGCAAAGGCAAGCUGGCGAGCGACCCGAAGUGACCGUGGCGGGCCAUAGGGACUACUGCUUCCGCUUAUCUUUAUUUUAGACUUUCGUACCUGAGUUUGAGCAUUCUUCAGUACUUAUCAUCUUAUUAUGUAGAUAGGGCCCGAGUAGGACUUUAGAACGCAUUACAUCUUUUUGCAUAACUACCUUGUUUGAAUUUUCAUAAAUAAAAUUUCUCAAACCUUAUGCGUUUUGAAUAAA